Molecule: small nuclear RNA, 191 nt
Organism: Callithrix jacchus (white-tufted-ear marmoset)
Lineage: Eukaryota; Metazoa; Chordata; Mammalia; Primates; Cebidae
Gene: U2
Rfam family: U2 spliceosomal RNA
About the family: U2 is a small nuclear RNA (snRNA) component of the spliceosome (involved in pre-mRNA splicing).
Source: Ensembl
AUCACUUCUCAACCAUUUGGCUAAGAUCAAGUAGAGUAUCUAUCUUUAUCAGUUUAAGAUCUGAUGUCUCCUCUAUCUGAGGAUAGCAUAUUUAAUGUAUUUUUGAACAGGGAGAAGAAACAGGAGCUUGCUCUGCCCACUUCAUGCCUAGAAGGUCCUGCACCUGGUAUUGCAGGACCUCCAGAAACAAU